AUGGCGGCGGCGGUGUCGCGCGACGACGAGCUGGUGGUCAAGUCCCCCAGCGACAACCGUUCCUACCGCCUCCUCCGCCUCGCCAAUGGCCUCUGCGCCCUCCUCAUCCACGACCCCGAGAUCUACGCCGACGGCGGCCCUGCCCCCAAGCCAAACGAAGACGUGGACAUGGACGACGGGGACGACGAGGAAGAUGGUGACGAGGACGACGACGAAGAUGACGAAGAGUAUAGCGACGAGGAGGGGGAGGAUGACGACGACGAAGAAGGCGAGGAGGACGAGGAUGGGAGCGAGCCCAAGAGGAAGAAGGACAAGGGCAGCUCCGAGCCGGUCAUUAAGAAGGCUGCUGCUGCAGUGUGUGUUGGAAUGGGCAGUUUUGCGGACCCUCCAAAGGCACAGGGUUUGGCUCAUUUUCUAGAGCACAUGCUUUUUAUGGGGAGCUCUGUUUUUCCUGAUGAAAACGAGUAUGACAGUUACCUGUCCAAACAUGGUGGUUCAUCCAAUGCUUUUACUGAAACUGAGUACACAUGCUAUCAUUUUGAGGUCAAUCGUGAGUAUCUUAAGGGAGCCUUAGACAGAUUUUCUCAGUUCUUUGUAUCACCUCUUGUUAAGGCUGAAGCUAUGGACCGCGAGAUAUUAGCAGUAGACUCAGAGUUCAAUCAAGUUCUGCAAAGCGAUAGCUGCCGCCUUUACCAACUGCAGUCCCAUACUUGCUCUCAAGGGCACCCAUUGAAUAGAUUUACCUGGGGAAACAAGAAAAGCUUGUCGAAUGCAAUGGGCAGUGGAAUCAAUCUAAGGGAAGAGAUUUUGCAAAUGUACAUGAGUAACUAUCAUGGAGGGAUGAUGAAGCUAGUUAUAAUUGGGGGAGAACCCCUUGACACUCUAGAAGCCUGGACCAUAGAGCUAUUCAGUGAAGUUAAAGCUGGUCCUCUGUUAGAAAUAAGUCCAAAGUCUGAUAUGCCUUUCUGGAAAUCUGGUAAACUUUAUAAGCUAGAGGCUGUCAGAGAUGUUCACAGUCUUUUCCUGUCAUGGACACUUCCUUGCCUGCACAAGGAAUACAUGAAGAAACCAGAAGAUUACUUGGCACAUCUCCUUGGUCAUGAGGGCAAGGGAAGCUUGCUAUAUUUUUUGAAAGCUAAAGGUUGGGCUAGCACAUUGAGUGCUGGCGUUGGCACUGGAGGAACACAACGAUCCUCAUAUGCCUAUAUCUUUGAGAUGUCUAUCCGCCUUUCUGAUUCUGGACUUAAAAAUCUCUUCGAGGUCAUUACAGCUGUGUACCAAUAUAUAAAUUUACUUAAGCAGUCUGAGCCGCAAGAAUGGAUAUUUAAGGAACUUCAGGACAUUGGGUACAUGGAAUUCAGAUUUGCAGAAGAGCAACCCCCAGAUGAUUAUGUAGUAGAUCUUGCAGAAAAUAUGCUAUUUUAUUCUGAAAAACACAUAAUUUCUGGAGAAUAUAUUUAUGAGGGAUGGGAACCAGAGUUAGUCAAGCAUGUUCUGAGCUUCUUUCAUCCAGACAACAUGAGAGUUGACAUACUGAGCAGAUCAUUUGAUAAACAGUCCCAAGCCAUUAGAUGUGAACCAUGGUUUGGUUCACAGUACAUUGAAGAGGAUAUUCCGCCAUCUUUGAUUGAAAGCUGGAGAAAUCCUGUGGAGAUAGAUGGUAAUUUUCAUUUACCUCGGAAGAAUGAAUACAUCCCAGGGGACUUCAGUCUGCGGAAUGCUAGCAUUCCUAAAUCCUCAAACGAUGAUAAUCCUCGAUGUAUUGUGGAUGAACCAUUCAUAAAGCUCUGGCACAAGAUGGAUAUUACAUUUAAUGUUCCUCGUGCCAAUGCAUACUUUUUGAUUUCUGUCAAGGAUGGCUGUAGCAGCCUCAGAAACUCUGUUCUGACAGAUCUGUUUGCAAACCUUCUUAAAGAUGAGCUAAAUGAGGUCCUCUAUCAGGCUUAUGUGGCUAAACUCGAGACAUCAUUAUCUGUCGUUGGUAGCAACCUUGAGCUAAAGCUUUAUGGUUACAAUGACAAGCUGGCCAUCCUGCUGUCCCACAUCUUGGCUGCUUCUCAGUCCUUUUCUCCAAAGAUGGAUAGGUUUGAGGUCAUCAAGGAGGACUUGGAAAGAGCUUACAGAAACACGAAUAUGAAACCUAUGAGCCAUUCCACCUACUUGAGGCUACAGUUCUUACGUCAAAUAUUCUGGGACGUCAAUGAAAAAUUGAAAGUUCUUGCGACGUUAACCUUUUCAGAUCUGGCAGCAUUUGUUCCAGAGCUCCUUUCUCAGUUACACAUCGAGGGCCUAUGUCAUGGUAACCUGUCAGGAGAGGAAGCGAUAAAUAUAUCAAAAAUAUUCAAGAACACUUUGUCAGGCCAGACACUGUCAGUGGAGGCAAGACACGGUGAAAGAGUUCUUUGCAUUCCUCAUGGUGCAAAUUUUAUUAGAAGUGUACGUGUGAAGAAUGAUCUUGAAGAGAAUUCUGUGGUUGAGGUUUAUUUUCCAGUUGAGCAAGACAUUGGAAAGGAGUCAACAAGGCUCAGAGCUAUUACAGAUCUUUUCAGCAAUAUCAUUGAAGAACCUUGCUUUGAUCAGCUGAGAACGAAGGAGCAGCUUGGCUAUACUGUGGACUCCAGUCCAAGGAUGACUUACCGCCUGCUGGCGUAUUGUUUUCGAGUUAUGUCCUCCAAGUAUAGCCCUGUUUACCUGCAAAGCAGGAUUGAUAACUUUAUUGAUGGUCUGUCUGCUUUGCUGGAUGGGCUUGAGGAGGAGACUUUUGAGCAUCACAAGAGUGGGCUAAUAGCUCAAAAACUCGAGAAGGAUCCUUCCCUUAGCUAUCAAACUGGCGAUUACUGGUCGCAGAUUACCGACAAAAGGUAUAUGUUUGAUAUGUCAAAACUGGAAGCUGAAGAGCUAAGGACAGUUGGGAAGGAGGACGUCAUCAGUUGGUACAAUACCUACAUAAGAUCAUCUUCUCCAACACGUAGACGAUUGGCAAUACAUGUGUAUGGUUGCAACCCGGAUAUUGCUGAGGCUGCCACGCUGCAAGAGCAGUCAUGGACUGCAAUUGAUGAUGUUGAAUCCUUGAAGGGUUCUUCCCAAUUUUAUCCUAGCCUCUGCUGA
This 3108-nucleotide ribosomal RNA is filed under the name Triticum aestivum (bread wheat). RNAcentral describes it as "partial small subunit ribosomal RNA". The record is from RNAcentral. Lineage: Eukaryota; Viridiplantae; Streptophyta; Magnoliopsida; Poales; Poaceae.